UUGACUUGGGACCCAGAACAACAGAACUGCACACAUGUUUGGGUAAUAGUCUUGCAGAUCAAGCUUGAAAAAGUUUCUAGGCUGCCUGCCCAUUUUCUUUUCCUCUUAAAAAAUAGUUCUGAUUUUUGUUUUAGUUUUUAUGAAUUAUGCUUGUUUGGGACUGGGCCACUCAAACAUUUACAGGGGUAUUUAAAACGUCUCGGGGGUUUAGUUAUAAUAAAUUAAAGCUUUUACAAGAACUCAUGUAAAAUGUUUACACAAACUGUGCAUCCAUUUCUCUUAAGUAAAUUGGGAUUGAUGGGGCAUAUAAUAAACGUUUUAUUAACUUUGCCAUAAAUGUCAAGACUGUUUUCCAAUGUGACUGUGCCAUUUUAAAUCCUCCGUAGAAACACAAGAAUUUCAGCAGCUCUGUUCUCCCUGGAAGUUGACAUUAUCUUUUCUUUCUUUCUUUCUUUCUUUCUUUCUUUCUUUCUUUCUUUCUUUCUUUCUCUCUCUCUCUCUCUCUUUCUUUCUUUCUCUUUCUUUCUUUCCUUCCCUCUUUCCUUUUUUCUCUUCUUUUUAUAAAACCCGUUUUAUUAUUAUUAUUAUUUUAUUUUCUGUGUAUGAGUGUUUUGCCUGCAUGUAUGUUGGUGUGCCAUGUGUGUGCCUGGCGUCUACAAGAACUAGAAUAGAGUAUUGGAUCCCCUGUAAGUUAAGUUAUAGAUGGCUGUAAGCCUCCUUGUGGUGCUGGAAACUGACCCUGGCCCUUUGGAAGAGCAGCAGCCAGUGCUCCUAACCUCUGAGCAUCUCUCCAUUGCCACUCUUAAAUUUUGAGCCAUUUAAAUAGGUGUGAAAUGAUACCUCAUUGUGAUUUGAACUGUAAUCCCUCAAUGACUAAUAAUGUUAAGGUCUUUGUUCAUUUAACAUUUAUUUAUCUAUUUAUCUAGCCAUCUAUUUCUCUCUCUCUCUCUCUCUCUCUCUCUCUCUCUCUCUCUCUCUGUGUGUGUGUGUGUGUGUGUGUGUGUGUGCUCGCUCACGUGUGCAAAUGCAUACAUGCAUGAGUGUGUAGGUGCAUACACAUGGAGGAGGUCAGAGGACAUCCUGCAAAAGUCAUUUCUCUCCUACCAUUUGGGCUCUGGGGAUCAAAAUCAAGUUGUUAGACUUGGUGACAAGUGCGUGUACCAGCUGUGCCAUCUUGCUGGCUCAGCACCUUGCUUUCCUGAGACAAGGUCUUUCAGUGAACCUGGAGCUCACUGCUUUGGGCAGGCAGGCUGGCCAUCCAGCUCCUGAGACCCACCUGUCGAUGGCCUCCAGGGCUGGGAUUUCGAGCUGUGGUAUGGCGCAGCUUUUUAUCAGCUGAGGACUUGAACUCACCUCUUGAUUCACAGCAAAUACUCUUGUCCCUGAGGUGUCAUCCUAAUCCAUAGGAUUUAUAUAUUAUAGAUUUAAGUCAUUUAUUUGACACAUGGUUUGCAAAUAUUUCUCCAGUAUUUAGUUAUUUUAUUCUUUCAAAAAAUGUCUCUUAAAGAGUAGACAUUCUUAUUUAUAAGGAAGUCAAACAUCACUGUUUUCUUAUGGGUCACAACUUUAGUUUCAUAGCUCAGGGCCUGUAGCUCCCACAUUUACUUUCUGCGUAUUGGAGGACUAGCCAGACGUGGCCGACUGUAGCAUCCUAACAGUUCUGUUAUGCUUUAAGUGCACUGUCUGAUUCCUAAACUUCCCUGAGUUGUUUUGUGGGUCAGCAUGUGGUCUAGCAUGCUAAAUGUUUGGCGUCUAUGGAAAACAUGUGGAUCUCACCAUCAUUGCAAAGUCAUCUAUAAAUAGCAAUUAUGUCAACUGCUUGGCCCUUGUGUUUAAAUCUACAGUCCCCUUAUCCCCAGAACAUUUUUUUCUCUUAAUCAUUUGGGUUUUUUUCUUUUAAUCGGUUUUAAUCAUAAAUAUAUUUAUCUUACCAGAUCCUGUUUUUGUAUAUUUUGGAGCUGUGUUAUUAGAUGAUUAAACAUUUAAAAAUUUUAUGUCCUUUUGAUGAAUUGAGCCUGUUAUCAUUCUGAAAUUAUUUUUAUCCUGGUGAAUUUUGCUCUGUAAUACACUUAAGUUAAUAUUACAUGUCCACUGUAGCUUUCUCUUGGCUUAUCUAAUCAUAGUAUAUAUUUCCCCAACCUUUUGAUUUUAACCUACUCAUGACUAUAUAUUCAGAUUAUGUUUGUUGAGGCAGGAUAUCAUUGGGUCUUACUGUUUCUUAAAGUCCAAUCUCAAUAAUCUCUGUGUCUUUUGGGGAUUUUAAAGACAUUUAUAUUUAAUGUAAUUAUUAUAAUUGAAUCAUCUUGAUGUUUGAUUUUUUUCGUUGAUAUAUAAAAAUG
RNAcentral lists this long non-coding RNA (2339 nucleotides) under Mus musculus (house mouse). RNAcentral's name for it is "long non-coding RNA chr4:42830027-42832366". The record is from RNAcentral. Lineage: Eukaryota; Metazoa; Chordata; Mammalia; Rodentia; Muridae.